GACCGGGUGGCGAAAGGAUUCGCACCCUUAAGUACUAAAGUCGAAAGAAGCGCAUGUAUCGGAGGGGGUUCCUGGUUCGACUCCAGGCUCGGUCA
Mycena latifolia is the source of this 95-nucleotide non-coding RNA. The record is from the annotation of a GenBank genome assembly. Lineage: Eukaryota; Fungi; Basidiomycota; Agaricomycetes; Agaricales; Mycenaceae.